This 488-nucleotide ribosomal RNA is filed under the name uncultured bacterium. RNAcentral's name for it is "partial 16S ribosomal RNA". It matches the Rfam family "Bacterial small subunit ribosomal RNA", at positions 29 to 523 of the family's 1533-position model. The record is from RNAcentral.
AACGAACGCUGGCGGCGUGGAUUAGGCAUGCAAGUCGAGCGCGAUCAGUUUGGUGCUUGCAUUAAACUGUGAAAGCGGCGAAAGGGAGAGUAACGCGUAGUUACCUACCUCAGGGUUCAGAAUAGCCACGGGAAACUGUGGGUAAUGCUGAAUAACAUCUCCGGAUCAAAGGUGUGAUUCCGCCCCGAGAGGGGACUGCGUCCUACUAGCUUGUUGGUGGGGUAAUGGCCUACCAAGGCGUUGAUGGGUAGCGGGUGUGAGAGCAUGACCCGUCUCACUGGGACUGAGACACUGCCCAUACACCUACGGGUGGCUGCAGUCGAGAAUCUUCGGCAAUGCGCGAAAGCGUGACCGAGCGACGCCGCGUGCGGGAUGAAGGCCCUCGGGUUGUAAACCGCUGUCGUAGGGGAGGAAGGCUCCAUGAAGAAUGGGGUUUGACCUAUCCUAGGAAGAAGGACGGGCUAAGUUCGUGCCAGCCGCCGCGGUAA